GAUCAUGGCUCAGGAUGAACGCUGGCGGCGUGCUUAACACAUGCAAGUCGAACGAAGCUCUUUGAUCGGAGGAUUCGUCCAAAGUGAUGAGAAGACUUAGUGGCGGACGGGUGAGUAACGCGUGGGUAACCUGCCAUAUACAGGGGGAUAACAGUUAGAAAUGACUGCUAAUACCGCAUAAGCGCACAGUAAGGCAUCUUACAGUGUGAAAAGCCGAGACGGUAUAUGAUGGACCCGCGUCUGAUUAGCUAGUUGGUGAGGUAACGGCUCACCAAGGCGACGAUCAGUAGCCGGCCUGAGAGGGUGAACGGCCACAUUGGGACUGAGACACGGCCCAAACUCCUACGGGAGGCAGCAGUGGGGAAUAUUGCACAAUGGGGGAAACCCUGAUGCCAGCGACGCCGCGUGAGUGAAGAAGUAAUUCGUUACGUAAAGCUCUAUCAGCAGGGAAGAAAAUGACGGUACCUGACUAAGAAGCCCCGGCUAACUACGUGCCAGCAGCCGC
RNAcentral lists this ribosomal RNA (505 nucleotides) under uncultured bacterium. RNAcentral describes it as "bacterial SSU rRNA". It matches the Rfam family "Bacterial small subunit ribosomal RNA", at positions 15 to 518 of the family's 1533-position model. The record is from RNAcentral.